GUGAACCUGCGGAAGGAUCAUUACUGAGUGAGGGCCCUCUGGGUCCAACCUCCCACCCGUGUUUAUUUACCUUGUUGCUUCGGCGGGCCCGCCUUAACUGGCCGCCGGGGGGCUUACGCCCCCGGGCCCGCGCCCGCCGAAGACACCCUCGAACUCUGUCUGAAGAUUGUAGUCUGAGUGAAAAUAUAAAUUAUUUAAAACUUUCAACAACGGAUCUCUUGGUUCCGGCAUCGAUGAAGAACGCAGCGAAAUGCGAUACGUAAUGUGAAUUGCAAAUUCAGUGAAUCAUCGAGUCUUUGAACGCACAUUGCGCCCCCUGGUAUUCCGGGGGGCAUGCCUGUCCGAGCGUCAUUGCUGCCCUCAAGCACGGCUUGUGUGUUGGGCCCCGUCCUCCGAUUCCGGGGGACGGGCCCGAAAGGCAGCGGCGGCACCGCGUCCGGUCCUCGAGCGUAUGGGGCUUUGUCACCCGCUCUGUAGGCCCGGCCGGCGCUUGCCGAUCAACCCAAAUUUUUAUCCAGGUUGACCUCGGAUCAGGUA
This 537-nucleotide ribosomal RNA is filed under the name Penicillium sp. AIR-SAB-II-11. RNAcentral's name for it is "eukaryotic LSU rRNA". The stretch from base 199 to 351 matches the Rfam family "5.8S ribosomal RNA". Lineage: Eukaryota; Fungi; Ascomycota; Eurotiomycetes; Eurotiales; Aspergillaceae. The record is from RNAcentral.